AUACGGAGGGAGCAAGCGUUAUUCGGAAUCACUGGGCGUAAAGCGCGCGCAGGCGGCUUGAUAAGUUGGAUGUGAAAGCCUACGGCUCAACCGUAGAACUGCAUCCAAAACUGUCAGGCUAGAGUGUGGGAGAGGAAGAUGGAAUUAGUUGUGUAGGGGUAAAAUCCGUAGAGAUAACUAGGAAUACCAAAAGCGAAGGCAAUCUUCUGGAACACUACUGACGCUGAGGCGCGAAGGCGUGGGGAGCAAACAGGAUUAGAAACCCCAGUAGUCC
This 274-nucleotide ribosomal RNA is filed under the name uncultured bacterium. RNAcentral's name for it is "partial 16S ribosomal RNA". It matches the Rfam family "Bacterial small subunit ribosomal RNA", at positions 523 to 796 of the family's 1533-position model. The record is from RNAcentral.